AUUGAACGCUGGCGGCAUGCUUUACACAUGCAAGUCGAACGGUAACAGGUUAAGCUGACGAGCGGCGAACGGGUGAGUAAUGCAUCGGAACGUGCCCGAUCGUGGGGGAUAACGCAGCGAAAGCUGCGCUAAUACCGCAUACGAUCUGAGGAUGAAAGCGGGGGACCGUAAGGCCUCGCGCGAUCGGAGCGGCCGAUGGCGGAUUAGGGAGUUGGUGGGGUAAAGGCCCACCAAGCCGACGAUCUGUAGCUGGUCCGAGAGGACGACCAGACACACUGGGACUGAGACACGGCCAAGACUCCUACGGGAGGCAGCAGUGGGGAAUUUUGGACAAUGGGCGAAAGCCUGAUCCAGCAAUGCCGCGUGCAGGAAGAAGGCCUUCGGGUUGUAAACUGCUUUUGUACGGAGCGAAAAGGUCCUUUCUAAUACAGGGGGCUCAUGACGGUACCGUAAGAAUAAGCACCGGCUAACUACGUGCCAGCAGGCGCCGUAA
This 493-nucleotide ribosomal RNA is filed under the name uncultured bacterium. RNAcentral describes it as "partial 16S ribosomal RNA". It matches the Rfam family "Bacterial small subunit ribosomal RNA", at positions 29 to 523 of the family's 1533-position model. The record is from RNAcentral.